RNAcentral lists this ribosomal RNA (253 nucleotides) under uncultured bacterium. Its description in RNAcentral is "partial 16S ribosomal RNA". It matches the Rfam family "Bacterial small subunit ribosomal RNA", at positions 524 to 776 of the family's 1533-position model. The record is from RNAcentral.
UACGAAGGGGGCGAGCGUUGUUCGGAAUUACUGGGCGUAAAGCGUAUGUAGGCGGUCGAAAAAGUCAGAAGUGAAAGCCCCGGGCUCAACCUGGGAACUGCUUUUGAAACUUUUUGACUAGAGUCCCGGAGAGGUUGGCGGAAUUCCGAGUGUAGAGGUGAAAUUCGCAGAUAUUCGGAGGAACACCAGUGGCGUAAGCGGCCAACUGGACGGGAACUGACGCUGAGGUACGAAAGCGUGGGGAUCAAACAGG